GAUGAACGCUGGCGGCGUGCUUAACACAUGCAAGUCGAACGGAACUACUCCAAUGAGAGUCUUCGGAAAGGAUUUGGUUUAGUUUAGUGGCGGACGGGUGAGUAACGCGUGGGUAACCUGCCCUAUACAGGGGGAUAACAGUUGGAAACGACUGUUAAUACCGCAUAAGCGCACAGGAGCGCAUCCUCCGGUGUGAAAAACUCCGGUGGUAUAGGAUGGACCCGCGUCUGAUUAGCUGGUUGGCGGGGUAACGGCCCACCAAGGCGACGAUCAGUAGCCGGCCUGAGAGGGUGAACGGCCACAUUGGGACUGAGACACGGCCCAAACUCCUACGGGAGGCAGCAGUGGGGAAUAUUGCACAAUGGGGGAAACCCUGAUGCAGCGACGCCGCGUGAGCGAAGAAGUAUCUCGGUAUGUAAAGCUCUAUCAGCAGGGAAGAAAAUGACGGUACCUGACUAAGAAGCCCCGGCUAACUACGUG
RNAcentral lists this ribosomal RNA (480 nucleotides) under uncultured bacterium. Its description in RNAcentral is "partial 16S ribosomal RNA". It matches the Rfam family "Bacterial small subunit ribosomal RNA", at positions 28 to 507 of the family's 1533-position model. The record is from RNAcentral.